AUCAUUUGUCUGUUGCCACACAAUAAAAUGGCAGAACUGGAAAUUUAAUCUUCCUUCCCAUAUCCACAGUGCUAAAGUAUGAGGGCUGCUCUGAAAGUAGUGCCUCCUAUUUUAUAAUGUUGGCCCAUGAUGUCAGAGGCAGAUGUUGGUGACACGGCAGUAGAGGCUGAACCUUCCCACUAAUAUUCUGUUACAUUUUGUUGCAAUGCGACAGAUGGCAGCAGAGGUGCAGUCUGACAAAUGAUGUCUGACAUGGGAGUGCGCACGAAGCAAAGGACUGAAAAGACACAAAGGUGUACAAGGAGAGGCUGGACUGUGCUCGAAUUUGUGAUCAUCCAGAUACAUGCAAACAUCUCAAGAAGAAAUCCAGAUUAUAAAUCCUGUGUAAACAUCUCACUUGCCAAUGUGGAGUCCCAGGAGCAUGCAUAUAUUGUUUUUAGUGUGACCGCACCGUGCAGCUGUAUGGAUCCUUCAGGGAUAGGAAGGAUGGGAAUUAUCUGACAUGUUUUCCAGAUACUUCAACAAGUUUGAAGUUCUUCAGACCUAAGAGCACCCAGUCUGUAAGUUAAUCAUUGAUAUGUCCUCAGCUGUUGGUGAAGACAAAGAUCUGUUGUAAAUUAAAGCACUUUUUGCCAUAAGUUUACGUGACUUUACUGCUAUCCAUACCCUCUCUCAUGUGAGUCCUCAUACUGAGCUUUGGAGUGUGCUUUUUGUGUAUGUUUGUAACUGACUCUUUCAUUCGACUUUCAUUAUAUCUGACAGGGAAAUAAAUGACCAUUUUAUCAAAGUCUGUGAAUUCA
Molecule: long non-coding RNA, 800 nt
Filed under: Numida meleagris (helmeted guineafowl)
Lineage: Eukaryota; Metazoa; Chordata; Aves; Galliformes; Numididae
Description: lncRNA (ENSNMEG00000005500.1)
Source: RNAcentral